CUCAUGCUCUCUCCCGAGCCAUGCCGUUUUAAGGUUUUGCGCGCUUCGUUGCUUCCUCUAGUUUUCCCUUCUUGCUUUUUUCCUUUUCUUUUGGCUGUACUGAGCGGGUGCGCAAACGCCGAGUGUGAAGCGCGCGCAUGCAUAAAUAUGCAUAUAUAUACAAGCUGUUUUUCUGUGCAACACGUCGUUCUGACCAGUCGACAAGUAUGUACGCAUGUGACCGAAGUACACUUGCCUCUGUUGCACCACGGCUAUCUCAAGGGCACCGGGACCACCAAUAACGUGUUGCGUUGUGCAGUCCACUUGAUAAAGCGCAGGUUCAGUCCAGCAUUACGCUCCACAUCACCUCAACGCGACGAAAACAUCAAAAACGGUAAGUGGAUGCCCAAGUUUGCCGAGGUAUGGGGACAUUAUGUAGUUAGCCGGUCUGAACGUAAUCAUGACCGCAGGUCUCUUCUGCACAGCACCAGCACGAGUGCCUCUCAGUCAACAUCAAGGGCCCACCAGCCGUGCCUGAGGAAAGGCUGUGCAGGCUUUUGGCUUCCUCACAGAGUACAUACCAGACCCUGAUAUCACGCGCGGAGGUGGACUUCGGCAUCAUCAGGACCGAUGAACAAGUUUGAAAAAGCAAACAGGCGAUACGGCUGCCAUCGAUCACGCAUGGCGCUGCACUUGCCACGCAGUCGUAUUUUCGGCAAUGUGCGAAAAAAUAAAACAGAGGAUGAGGGGUGUGGAGAAGGUCCCACUGUUCAUGGAAUGAGGCGGGCGGCAACAGUGCAGCAGCCUGUUGCUGCGUUCUUCUUUGCGUUGUACAUUCUAUCGGUAGACCCCGCUCGUUUUGCCUGUCCUCCUCGCCGAUUCCCGCCACUGUGCGCUGAGCUCUGGAGGGAGGAGGGGGUGCUAGUAUGAGUGCGCACACACAGGGCAGUGCGCGUUUUAGCUUUCUUUCCGUAACUGCGUGCCGCGUG
Molecule: unclassified non-coding RNA, 968 nt
Filed under: Leishmania donovani
Lineage: Eukaryota; Euglenozoa; Kinetoplastea; Trypanosomatida; Trypanosomatidae
Description: gene:unknown
Source: RNAcentral